GCCCUCUUAGCUCAGUCGGUAGAGCGCGUCCUUGGUAAGGACGAGGUCUCCAGUUCAAUCCUGGAAGAGGGCUCCA
Molecule: transfer RNA, 76 nt
Filed under: Anaeromyxobacter sp. RBG_16_69_14
Lineage: Bacteria; Pseudomonadati; Myxococcota; Myxococcia; Myxococcales; Anaeromyxobacteraceae
Also listed under: 4 other names
Description: tRNA-Thr
Rfam family: tRNA
About the family: Transfer RNA (tRNA) molecules are approximately 80 nucleotides in length.
Source: RNAcentral